UGGGGAAUUUUGGACAAUGGGGGCAACCCUGAUCCAGCCAUGCCGCGUGAGUGAAGAAGGCCUUCGGGUUGUAAAGCUCUUUCGGCCGGGAAGAAAUCGCAUGGGCUAAUACCCUGUGCGGAUGACGGUACCGGCAUAAGAAGCACCGGCUAACUACGUGCCAGCAGCCGCGGUAAUACGUAGGGUGCGAGCGUUAAUCGGAAUUACUGGGCGUAAAGCGUGCGCAGGCGGUUUUGUAAGACAGGCGUGAAAUCCCCGGGCUCAACCUGGGAACUGCGCUUGUGACUGGAAGGCUAGAGUAUGGCAGAGGGGUGUGGAAUUCCACGUGUAGCAGUGAAAUGCGUAGAGAUGUGGAGGAACACCAAUGGCGAAGGCAGCCCCCUGGGCCAAUACUGACGCUCAUGCACGAAAGCGUGGGUAGCAAACA
Molecule: ribosomal RNA, 427 nt
Filed under: uncultured prokaryote
Description: bacterial SSU rRNA
Rfam family: Bacterial small subunit ribosomal RNA
Source: RNAcentral